AACACUUCAUGACUGAGAUCAGAACAGAACAGAAUCUUCAUCAUCACACAAACCAAAAGAACAACAAUGACUUUCAUCAUCAUCUUCAUCUGGACACUGACUUCCUACAUUCAGGAGAGCUGUGGAGAAGUGACAGUGACUCAAACACCACAAAUAACAUCCAUUACACAAGGAGGAACCGUUGAAAUCAGCUGUAAAACAAGUCAGCCAAUUUCUGGCUGUAAUGAUUGUGUUUCAUGGUAUCUUCAGAAACCCGGAGAAGCUCCUAAACUCCUCAUUUAUUACAUCAGGAGACUUCAGUCAGGAACUCCAUCAAGAUUCAGUGGCAGUGGAUCAGACUAUGGAAGUGAUUUCACUUUGACCAUCAGUGGAGUUCAGACUGAAGAUUCAGGAGAUUAUUACUGUCAGAGUUAUCACAGUGGUUAUGUGUUGACACAGUGAUAAAGAGUGAUACAAAAACCUCUGUCAGUCACACUCACAGUGACUGAACUCAUACACCUGACAGAUACUGCAGAUGAUCAAACAACACAAUAACACACAACACUGAUCACACAAAUAACACAACAUCACCUUAUGAUCAACAGAAAUCAUGCUAAGGUUUAUACAGGUAUGUAUUUAUGAUAAGAUAAACA
Molecule: non-coding RNA, 632 nt
Organism: Paramisgurnus dabryanus
Lineage: Eukaryota; Metazoa; Chordata; Actinopteri; Cypriniformes; Cobitidae
Source: the annotation of a RefSeq genome assembly